Canis lupus familiaris (dog) is the source of this 1227-nucleotide long non-coding RNA. RefSeq lists it as uncharacterized. The record is from RefSeq and is a predicted model, not a curated record. NCBI's taxonomy places the organism in Eukaryota, Metazoa, Chordata, Mammalia, Carnivora, Canidae. The transcript has 3 exons.
GCUGGAGGCUUACACAGCCUCCUGCCUGACAGGGAGCCUGAAGCCGCACAUGUGGCAGGGCCAAGCACAUGGGCGCCCUAGGUGAGAGAUUACUUGGCAUGGCCUCAAACCCAAAUUCUUUACAUAUUUGUUCAAUGAAUUGAGCUGAGCCUGUUCUCUGCCUGGUAAAAUGCAGAGAGCUAGUGGCUGCUGCGGCCACUCCUGCAUCGUGGUUGGCACUGGAAUUUAUAGGGGAGAGUGAGCAGAUACCUUAACUGAUCUGAAGAGCAGGACAGUUUGGACAUUUAUGGAACACAGCAAGGAGACCAAUGAAGCUCGAGCAGAGUGAAUGAGGGAAAGGGUGGAAGGAUCUGAGAUGGGAGAUCAGAGAAGCGUAGGAUCCAGAUUGCAGCGAGCCUUGUGGGCUAUUGCAAGGAUGUGACUUUUACACUGAGAAGGGGAGCUCCUGGGAAUGAAUGAAGAAGGAGAGGAGAGACAUGACCCAACUUAAAUUUAAAAAGGAUCCUGUGGUAAGCUGCAAAAUGCUCCCCUCAAGAUGUCCACAUCCUAUCCCAAGGCCUGCAAAUAUGUUGCCUUAUACGGCAAAAGGGACUUGAGGAAUGAUUAAGGUUGAGGUCCUUGAGAUGGUGAGAAGAUCCUGGAUUACCCAGUGGGCCCACUGAUGUAAUCACAGAUGUCCUUAUAAGAGAGAGGCAGGAGGAGAGACUGCUCCAGAGGAGAAGAUGUGAUGACCAAAGCAAGAUGUUGGAGUGAUGUGAGCCAAGGAAUGCAGGCAGCCUUUAGAAGCUGGAAAAGGCAAGGAACAGAGCAUUCCUGAAGCCUCCAGGACGAAUCAGUCUCCUGACUUCUUGACUUUAGCUCAGUGAAACUACUUUUGGACUUCUGGCUUCUGGAACUAUAAGAGAAAAAAAUUAGGUAAACGGCUUGGGGCUUUGGGCCUGAUCACAGAUCUGGGAAGGAGAACCAGUGCCCCAGCCCUUGUCUGCUUUAUCCUUUGGUACCUUCAUACUCCAAGCCUUCCCAGCAGCAGGGCUGUGGCAAAGGUGGGCUCCACGAAGCCCUUCCAUCUGAGCAAGAUGCCUGAGCUGUGGCUGCCCACCAGGAGUAUCUGCCUUCUUCCCGGAGACCUGAGCUGCCACUGGGCCUCUAGCAGCAAGAAAGAGCCUUUUGUUUCUCCCACACUGAAGGAAAGCCUUUGAUUGUCUGUUUGUUCAGGCUCUGCUGGGU